ACGGUCGGCGCCGGUGACGUCAGGGGGCGGGGGCCCGGGGUAAACAAGGGGGCGGUGGGGUCGGGGCUGGAGCGGGGCCGGCGGCCAGGGGGGGGGUUGCAGCAAUGUCUGCGAGUAUCUACAGCGGGGGAGCCAAGAGGACAGGGUCUGGCUCUUCUCGGUGGCGCCAAGCAAUAUGACAAGAGGCAAUGGGCAGAAAGUGAUGCACAGGAAGUUCCACCUGAGCAUGAGGAAGAAUUUCUUUACUGUGUGAGUGACCGAGCACUGGAACAGGUCGCCCAGAGAGGGUGUGGAAUCUCCCUCUCUGGAGAUACUCAAGAACCGUCUGGUUGCAAUCCUGUGCCAUGUGCUCUGGGAUGACCCUGCUGGAGCAGGGAGAUUGGACCAGAUGACCCACUGUUGUCCCUUCCAACCUGAUCCGUUCUGUGAUUCUGUGAUUUUUCAGCUUCUGAAGUCCCAGAGGGGUAACUAAAAUUCAGCCAUGACAUGAUGAUAAGAGAAGUGACUCCCAGGACAUUUUUUCCUCUUUUCCCCCUUGACUGAUGGUUUUAGUAUGCAUUUUUCUUCUGAAUCUUACUUUAGGAAUUAAAUAAAGGUAUCACAUAGAGAAAUAUA
Long non-coding RNA from Pseudopipra pipra, 615 nucleotides. RefSeq lists it as uncharacterized. The transcript is spliced from 2 exons. The record is from RefSeq and is a predicted model, not a curated record. NCBI's taxonomy places the organism in Eukaryota, Metazoa, Chordata, Aves, Passeriformes, Pipridae.